This 441-nucleotide ribosomal RNA is filed under the name uncultured bacterium. Its description in RNAcentral is "partial 16S ribosomal RNA". It matches the Rfam family "Bacterial small subunit ribosomal RNA", at positions 338 to 795 of the family's 1533-position model. The record is from RNAcentral.
CCUACGGGUGACAGCAGUGGGGGAUAUUGCACAAUGGGGGGAACCCUGAUGCAGCGACGCCGCGUGGGUGAAGGAGUGCUUCGGCAUGUAAAGCCCUAUCGGCAGGGAAGAAGCAAGACGGUACCUGACUAAGAAGCGCCGGCUAACUACGUGCCAGCAGCCGCGGUAAUACGUAGGGGGCGAGCGUUAACCGGGUUCACUGGGUGUAAAGGGAGCGUAGACGGCCAUGCAAGCCAUGGGGGAAAGCCCGGGGCCCAACCCCGGGACUGCCCUUGAAACUGGGGGGCUAGAGUGCGCGAGGAGCAGGCGGAAUGCCUGGUGUAGCGGUGAAAUGCGUAGAUAUCAGGAAGAACACCGGCGGCGAAGGCGGCCUGCUGGACCGCGACUGACGUUGAGGCUCGAAAGCGUGGGGAGCGAACAGGAUUAGAUACCCGAGUAGUC